GAGUUUGAUCCUGGCUCAGGAUGAACGCUGGCGGCGUGCCUAACACAUGCAAGUCGAACGAGAUGCGUAUCGGAAAGCUUCGGCCGGAAGAUACGUUAUCUAGUGGCGGGCGGGUGAGUAACACGUGGGUAACCUGCCUUAUGGAGGGGGAUAACAGAGAGAAAUCACUGCUAAUACCGCAUAAGCACACAGUACCGCAUGGUACAGGGUGAAAAGAUUUAUCGCCAUAAGAUGGGCUCGCGUCCGAUUAGAUAGUUGGCGGGGUAACGGCCCACCAAGUCGACGAUCGGUAGCCGGACUGAGAGGUUGAUCGGCCACAUUGGGACUGAGACACGGCCCAGACUCCUACGGGAGGCAGCAGUGGGGAAUAUUGCACAAUGGGGGAAACCCUGAUGCAGCGACGCCGCGUGAGGGAAGAAGGUUUUCGGAUUGUAAACCUCUGUCCUUGGUGACGAUAAUGACGGUAGCCAAGGAGGAAGCCACGGCUAACUACGUGCCAGCCGCCGCGGUAAUAC
Molecule: ribosomal RNA, 515 nt
Filed under: uncultured bacterium
Lineage: Bacteria
Description: bacterial SSU rRNA
Rfam family: Bacterial small subunit ribosomal RNA
Source: RNAcentral